GGAUGAACGUUGGCGGUGUGCCUAAUACAUGCAAGUCGAACGGAGUUAAUAGCAAUAUUGACUUAGUGGCGAACGGGUGAGUAACGCGUUGGUGAUCUGCCUUGAAGUGUGGAAUAACGCUCCGAAAGGAGCGCUAAUACCGCAUGUGCUCUCAAUUUUUAGAAACUUGAGAGGAAAGGAUUUAUUCGCUUCGAGAGGAGCCUGCGUCCCAUCAGCUGGUUGGUAGGGUAAAGGCCUACCAAGGCUAUGACGGGUAGGGGACCUGAGAGGGUGGCCCCCCACAAUGGAACUGAAACACGGUCCAUACACCUACGGGUGGCAGCAGUAGGGAAUAUUAGAAAUGGACGAAAGUCUGAUCUAGCAACACCGCGUGUGCGAAGAAGGCCUUCGGGUCGUAAAGCACUUUUUGGAAGGAAUAGGAAGGAAUGUACUUCCAGAAUAAGUCUCGGCUAACUACGUGCCAGCAGCCGCGGUAACACGUAGGAGGCAAACGUUAUCCGGAUUUACUGGGCGUAAAGCGCGUGUAGGUGGUUCUGUAAGUAGGGCGUGAAAGCUCCCGGCUCAACUGGGAGAGGCCGUUCUAAACUGCAGAGCUAGAGGNUAGUAGAGGUAGGCGGAAUUCCGAGUGUAGCGGUAAAAUNNNNNGAUAUUCGGAAGAACACCCAGUGGCGAAGGCGGCCUUCUGGACUACAACUGACGCUCAGACGCGAAAGCCAGGGUNNNAAACGGGAUUAGAGACCCCGGUAGUCCUGGCAGUAAACGAUGUGGACAUGGCGUAGGGGGGUUCAAAUCCCUUUGUGCCGGAGCAAACGCGAUAAGUCCACCACCUGGGGACUACGGCCGCAAGGUUAAAACUCAAAGGAAUUGACGGGGGCCCGCACAAGCAGCGGAGCGUGUGGUUUAAUUCGAUGCUACACGAAGAACCUUACCAGGGUUUGACAUACACAUGGUAGAGACGUGAAAGCGUCUUGACCCUUCGGGGAGUGUGAACAGGUGUUGCAUGGCUGUCGUCAGCUCGUGUCGUGAGAUGUUCGGUUAAGUCCGCUAACGAGCGCAACCCACAUUGCGUGUUACAAGUGUCACGCGACACUGCCGGUCUUAAGCCGGAGGAAGGUGUGGACGACGUCAAGUCAGCAUGACCUAUAUAUCCUGGGCUACACACACGCUACAAUGGCCGGUACAACGGGUAGCGAAGCCGCGAGGCGGAGCCAAUCCAGAAAGCCGGUCUCAGUUCAGAUUACAGGCNGCAACCCGCCUGUAUGAAGAUGGAGUUGCUGGUAACCGCAGGUCAGCUAUACUGCGGUGAAUACGUUCCCGNNNCU
This 1322-nucleotide ribosomal RNA is filed under the name uncultured bacterium. RNAcentral's name for it is "bacterial SSU rRNA". It matches the Rfam family "Bacterial small subunit ribosomal RNA", at positions 27 to 1381 of the family's 1533-position model. The record is from RNAcentral.